AGGGGGGUGGGGGGUGGUGGGUGGAGGAAAAUGGCCAAACUUUUUCUGGGUUUUGUUGGAAUUGCGAGAGAAAGAGCUGUUACGGAGAAAAGAUAGAGCAGAUAUGUUGGUGCCUGAAUCAUGGGAAGAGCAGAGCACACAUUUCGAAAAACACAGAAACCCAAAUUGUCUAGCUACGUGAUGAAUCCAUAGUGAACAAGAAGGAAGAGAGAGAGGGAGAAGGAGAAGGAGAAGGACAGAAAGCGGUGAUGGUGGUGGUGGACCUGAUAGCGAGAGGCAAAACUUGGCAAGAGCAGACAAAUACAAAUACUAAGC
Molecule: unclassified non-coding RNA, 315 nt
Filed under: Hevea brasiliensis (rubber tree)
Lineage: Eukaryota; Viridiplantae; Streptophyta; Magnoliopsida; Malpighiales; Euphorbiaceae
Source: RNAcentral